This 75-nucleotide microRNA precursor is filed under the name Pan troglodytes (chimpanzee). Its description in RNAcentral is "miRNA (ENSPTRG00000035120.2)". Lineage: Eukaryota; Metazoa; Chordata; Mammalia; Primates; Hominidae. The record is from RNAcentral.
GGUUGGUGCAAAAGUAAUCACAGUUUUUAUCAUUAUAAUGGCAAAAACUGCGAUUACUUUUGCAACAACCCAAUA